This is a non-coding RNA of Haemonchus placei, 75 nucleotides long. The record is from Rfam. NCBI's taxonomy places the organism in Eukaryota, Metazoa, Nematoda, Chromadorea, Rhabditida, Trichostrongylidae.
GGCACAAACUUGAAGUAGAGUGGAUCAGUAUGGUCAGCUGAUCCUACUGAUCUACCACACUCUAAGUUUGGGCUC